AUAUCAAUAAGCGGAGGGAAAGAAACCAACAGGGAUUGCCUUAGUAACGGCGAGUGAAGCGGCAACAGCUCAAAUUUGAAAUCUGUCUCUUUUAGAGUCCGAGUUGUAAUUUGUAGAGGAUGUUUCGGGCGUGGUCCGGUCUAAGUUCCUUGGAACAGGACGUCAUAGAGGGUGAGAAUCCCGUAUGCGACUGGGUGCCUAAGCUCAUGUGAAACUCCUUCGACGAGUCGAGUUGUUUGGGAAUGCAGCUCAAAAUGGGUGGUAAAUUUCAUCUAAAGCUAAAUAUUGGCCAGAGACCGAUAGCGCACAAGUAGAGUGAUCGAAAGAUGAAAAGCACUUUGGAAAGAGAGUUAAACAGUACGUGAAAUUGUUGAAAGGGAAGCGCUUGCAACCAGACUUGCAUUCAGUUGAUCAUCCGGCGUUUUCACCGGUGCACUCGAUUGUUUUCAGGCCAGCAUCGGUUUUGGUGGUUGGAUAAAGGCCUUGGGAAUGUAGCUUCUUUCGGGGAGUGUUAUAGCCCUCGGUGCAAUGCAGCCUACCGGGACCGAGGACCGCGCUUCGGCUAGGAUGCUGGCGUAAUGGUUGUAAGCGA
RNAcentral lists this ribosomal RNA (592 nucleotides) under uncultured fungus. RNAcentral's name for it is "eukaryotic LSU rRNA". It matches the Rfam family "Eukaryotic large subunit ribosomal RNA", at positions 40 to 647 of the family's 3401-position model. Lineage: Eukaryota; Fungi. The record is from RNAcentral.